RNAcentral lists this transfer RNA (71 nucleotides) under Stegodyphus mimosarum. It matches the Rfam family "tRNA". From Rfam's summary of the family: Transfer RNA (tRNA) molecules are approximately 80 nucleotides in length. Lineage: Eukaryota; Metazoa; Arthropoda; Arachnida; Araneae; Eresidae. The record is from Rfam by way of RNAcentral.
GCCUUUGUGGUGUAAUGGCAGCACACAUGGCGCGUAUUCUAGAGGUCCGGGUUCGAGUCCCGGCGAGAGUA